GCGUAAAGAGCUCGUAGGUGGUUUGUCGCGUUGUUCGUGAAAUCUCACGGCUUAACUGUGAGCGUGCGGGCGAUACGGGCAGACUUGAGUACUGCAGGGGAGACUGGAAUUCCUGGUGUAGCGGUGGAAUGCGCAGAUAUCAGGAGGAACACCGGUGGCGAAGGCGGGUCUCUGGGCAGUAACUGACGCUGAGGAGCGAAAGCGUGGGGAGCGAACAGGAUUAGAUACCCUGGUAGUCCACGCCGUAAACGGUGGGUACUAGGUGUGGGUUUCCUUCCUUGGGAUCCGUGCCGUAGCUAACGCAUUAAGUACCCCGCCUGGGGAGUACGGCCGCAAGGCUAAAACUCAAAGAAAUUGACGGGGGCCCGCACAAGCGGCGGAGCAUGUGGAUUAAUUCGAUGCAACGCGAAGAACCUUACCUGGGUUUGACAUGCACAGGACGCCGGCAGAGAUGUCGGUUCCCUUGUGGCCUGUGUGCAGGUGGUGCAUGGCUGUCGUCAGCUCGUGUCGUGAGAUGUUGGGUUAAGUCCCGCAACGAGCGCAACCCUUGUCUCAUGUUGCCAGCGGGUAAUGCCGGGGACUCGUGAGAGACUGCCGGGGUCAACUCGGAGGAAGGUGGGGAUGACGUCAAGUCAUCAUGCCCCUUAUGUCCAGGGCUUCACACAUGCUACAAUGGCCGGUACAAAGGGCUGCGAUGCCGCGAGGUUAAGCGAAUCCCCUUAAAGCCAGUCUCAGUUCGGAUCGGGGUCUGCAACUCGACCCCGUGAAGUCGGAGUCGCUAGUAAU
RNAcentral lists this ribosomal RNA (786 nucleotides) under uncultured Mycobacterium sp. RNAcentral describes it as "bacterial SSU rRNA". It matches the Rfam family "Bacterial small subunit ribosomal RNA", at positions 558 to 1342 of the family's 1533-position model. Lineage: Bacteria; Bacillati; Actinomycetota; Actinomycetes; Mycobacteriales; Mycobacteriaceae. The record is from RNAcentral.